GCCGGGGCGUCCCCCGCGGGAGCCCGCAGCCACCCGGGACGCGCAUCCAGACGUGGCGCUUCGGACCGGGCACGCUGCGCCCGGGGGCUCGGCGGACCCCGCGUAGCCGCCGCUUCGGAGCUUGUGCGGCGCGGGCUGGCCAGCGGGGCGGCCAGGGCCCGGCCCGCCUCCCCAGCGCCCGCCCGGCUUCUCCCCCUGGCGGUGGGAGCCUCGGCGGCCGCUGGCGACACUAGGCGCACUGAAGCCCGAGCCGAGCCGAGCCCGAGCCGCCGCCGCCGCCGCCGCUGCUGCGCACCGCUCCCGGGCUCCCUCCCAGCGCGCCGGCCGGGGUGUGGGGGGCGGCGGGCCGGAGGGGCGAGGGCGGGCCAGGGGGCGCACACGGGGGUUGGCGCGGAAGACAGGACCCUCAGCCUCGAGGGAGCCCCUAGGUGACCAGGCAAAAUGGCAGUUCCUUCCAGCUGGUCCUCAGAUGGGCACAUCUAUUAGCCUCUGCUCUUGUAAGAAGUUAGCUGCAGAACCCACAUGUGAAUCCUUGUAGUGCUUUAUCAAAUUUCUACUAUGAACUAAGAACUGAGUGCUAUGGGAGACACAAAGGAGAGUCAGGACUCUGGAGAAGAUCAAAUGGGAGCUUAGAUGUGGAAGCUCUUUGGAAACCAAGAAACACUCUGAAAAUGAAAAGGGUGGAAGAGUAAACUGUUCCUGUUUCUCCAUCUUGACAGGAAGCAGAAGUUCUCCUUAGCUGAUUUUUCUUCUUGCCUUAUACUGGGUUCUUUAACACCAGAACAAAAAUAAAUAAAUAAAAGAAUCUUCCAGAAAUUCAUGAAGAGACUUCAGGUCAGGAAAGCCUGAACUUUCUCAUCCAACACCCGUUCAAGUCGGAGGAUGCUGAUUAAUUCAUGAUGGAAAGGUAUCAAUUUCACAGCCCAGACCUCUACAUUCUUGAAAUGCUCUUCUCAUGGGAGACAUUAAAUAAGCUUUGAAUUAACUCUCUUCUUGGACUAAAAGGCCCUCAGCAUUCCUGUCAAUUUCUACACUCCUGAAGCUUCAUCUGGAGACCUCUGUGGAUUCUAUAACUCAAAGACCCAGGCUGACGGCUGGUGGAAUAGCUACCAUCUCAAACAUGGCGUGAUGCUGCAUCAGAGAGAAAAAUAAGCUCUUGCAUUGACAAUGAAAUGUCUACCCUGUAGUGACUUGUGCUUACUUCCACUCACAAGUGAUUGCCCAGAGCUACUUACCUGGCUCCAAUCUACCACUGGGUCAGACGUUUGCUGAAUUCAGUUCUGAGCUUUUGAACCAAAAGCAGAUCUUCAGAACAAGAAACAAGAUAAUAAAAGAGAAACAUGAAGAAACUGAAGAUGAUUGGAGAAAUAUGAAUCAAGAUGAUUAGACCUAGCAGAGGGCUGGCUGGAUGGCAUUUAUGUUGACAAUGGACUCCUACACAGAGGAUGAUCAUGGUCUAGGACAUAAUAGUCAUUCAAUCAUCAUUUCUUAAAUGAUUUUUUAAAACAAGUGAAUGAAUGACCAAUUAUAUACCUUCCCUGAGCCAAUAAAAUAUAUUAAAAGUAUAGGCCUGGGCACAGUGGCUCAUGCCUGU
RNAcentral lists this long non-coding RNA (1594 nucleotides) under Homo sapiens (human). Its description in RNAcentral is "PREDICTED lncRNA (TCONS_00182837)". The record is from RNAcentral. Lineage: Eukaryota; Metazoa; Chordata; Mammalia; Primates; Hominidae.